CACAAAAAGGAUAACAACGAAAACUGCUGGAGAGAUCAGUUUCUCUCUUUUCUUCUUGGGAAAAGUUUAAAACCCAUCUAAAUUCAUUGAAUGAUGACCAGAUUGAAGAACCAUAGAUUCUUCUAGUAUUUCCAUUGAUAUGAAUGAUAGGAAAUUUGUAUAAAUGAUGACCAUAUUGAAGAACCACCAACGCCGAUUGCAGAUUGUAAAAGAAGACGAUCCACUCCGUGGUUGUAGGCAUGAAAUCUGAAGUUUGUCACAUAGAAAACAGGAGCGAUGUAGUACACUAACACUGCGAAUGCAAGAAGAGACUCAUGUGAAAGUCGUGUAAACAAGGGGCAUUCAGAUGCACAAAGUUGUAUUUGAGGAAGAUGCACCUCGUGAUGGAACUGCUUUACUUUUUACGUUUCGCAACCAGCGACACAGACGCAGAAAACAUAAAAAUUAAAGUUGGCUUAGAGGCUGAUUUUGAAUUUUAAUUUGGAUAUAAGGUUGAGCAACAGAAUCUUGAGAGAACAAAUCCUAACAAAUGGUUAUCGCCAUGCCAAACAGUACAACAUUAGAAGUGCAGAGCAAGGUUGAUGUCGGAGGUUACAUGGCGUCGGCUCAGCCAACCGGUGCCGAUGAUAGCCGAACACUUUUAAUUGAAGAUCUGCGGUUUUGGAUGGAUGAAUAAUAUCUGUAUAGCUGCUUUGCAAAUAUUGCAAAUGUACUAAAAUUUCUGAAAUAAAUUAUUGUUGCUGAGUGUUUUAAUAUGUAAAAAUGUAUCUUAGGGAGAAGAAUAG
This is a long non-coding RNA of Nicotiana attenuata, 785 nucleotides long. RefSeq lists it as uncharacterized. The record is from RefSeq and is a predicted model, not a curated record. The transcript is spliced from 4 exons. Lineage: Eukaryota; Viridiplantae; Streptophyta; Magnoliopsida; Solanales; Solanaceae.